Oncorhynchus tshawytscha (Chinook salmon) is the source of this 1956-nucleotide long non-coding RNA. NCBI's taxonomy places the organism in Eukaryota, Metazoa, Chordata, Actinopteri, Salmoniformes, Salmonidae. The record is from Ensembl.
GCCUAUGUGGUCUGAGAGCUUGGGAUCCACUGUUCUUUUCCCAGACGGUGGGUUUUUGAAUGUCAGUUCAGAAAAUAUAUCCAGUUGCGGCUCCAAAUAUAUACUGACAGUGAAACAUAACUCAUCCAGUAUUUGUGCAGUGAAAGAGUGAGAGAAUACCAAGAGAUGCUCAUAUUCUGUCCAUCAGACAAAAUACAUUUCACUCUUUGUGGAUUGGAGUAUUGCCUGACUGUUAUUUUGAACUUGUGUUUCUGCUUGUGAACACUAACAAUAUAACUAUGAUGCUCUCUCUGUUGGCAAGCUCAUACCUGUGAACGUUUCUAGAGCUAAAUCAAUCUUAGAUGUGCACAGCAAUUUCUAUAAUUAGGUCAUUUAAAUGCACCUUUCCCUUCAGCAACAAAAAUAUACAGGUCCUUAAACUUCCCUCUCAAAGUUAAGCAAUGAGGCUUUACAAAAUAUUCUUGUUCUUGUCUUUUUAGGAUCAGUCCAAACUGAAGUCUAUACCUACCUUUAAAAUGAGCACCAAUAUCUUUUGUCAAAGCUGGACAGCCAGCAGUGUUACCUAGAGACCCCUUUCUGUGAAAACCAUCCAGUACACAAUACAGUGGAUAGGAGUCAGGCUGUGUUACCUAGAGACCCCUUUCUGUGAAAACCAUCCAGUACACAAUACAGUAGAUAGGAGUCAGGCUGUGUUACCUAGAGACCCCUUUCUGUGAAAACCAUCCAGUACACAAUACAGUGGAUAGGAGUCAGGCAGUGUUACCUAGAGACCCCUUUCUGUGAAAACCAUCCAGUACACAAUACAGUAGAUAGGAGUCAGGCAGUGUUACCUAGAGACCCCUUUCUGUGAAAACCAUCCAGUACACAAUACAGUGGAUAGGAGUCAGGCUGUGUUAUACAUCUGAAAGUGGUUAUGUUUAAGCUGCUUGGCCCUGUGUGCUCUGUCCAAUAAAGUUGUUGGAGAUUAUAAAUAACUUUUUAAGGAACUGUAAUGGGAUUAUGUCAGCUUUAAAACAACCUUUAUUACCACCUCACUCUCACCCAGUGCUUUCUCUUCUCACCACUACAGGUUUCAACACCAACACAACACCAAGACAACAACUCUCACCAACCAGGUCACUUUAGAUAUGGCUUAUUGAGGAGUGACUCAAUAGGCUGACACCUUUGAUUGUCAGCUAAUAAUCUUCUCUAAUGCACCUACACACAUGAACUCAGAUCCUUCCAGUUAAUGAUAGAGGUUUCUAGGCUGCCGCAAGUCUCCUCAAUCAAGUCCUUCUUCCCUUCAGAUACAGUAAGUUUUUCCAGAAACUAAUUUGUAAUCCUGCUUUGAAAGCAACCUCACCUUAUUCUCCCCUGUAAUCAACAACUAAAAUAUCUCCAACCUGUCACUCACUAGCCACUCAGUCGUUUUAGUAUUCACUCAUAGAAGUUUGAUCUUGAAUGUACAGUCCACAGGGGUGUUCAGCUUUCAGUCCCUCUGAGACCCAGCAGAAAGAGCAGGGGGUCCGUUCACACAUGUCGUCUCCACUAAAGCGCUUUAUCUGCGUGUGGCACCAGACAGUCCAUGGGACAUCCUGUCACUUCGCUCCCCUCUCACCGGGACUGUUGUCCUCUUUUAUCCUUUGUUGUAGAAUUCAGCACAUUUACCACAGGCCCGGGACACCAGGCAUUUAGGGACAAUGAAACACUAUACAAAAGGGAUAAUGCUUCUUUAAAAAAAAAGGCAAUACACUAAAGUGCAGUAAUCCGUGCGACUGUUGUGUCUGUGUCUUGGAAGAAAAGGAGCUCCUCUGGGAUUGGCCGUGUCCUGGAUUAGCUUCUAAUCCCUCUCUCCAUUCCUCUCUCUCCUCUCUCGUUCUCUGCCUCCCACAAUCCAGAUAGUGUUUUGAGAUACAGGUAAGUGGCUCCUCUCUCCUUCUCUGCCUCCCACAAUCCAGAUAGUGUUUUGAGAUACAG